AUUGAACGCUGGCGGCAGGCCUAACACAUGCAAGUCGAACGAGUGGCGGACGGGUGAGUAAUGUCUGGGAAACUGCCUGAUGGAGGGGGAUAACUUCUGGAAACGGUAGCUAAUACCGCAUACCACCAUAUGUGCCCUGAUGGGAGUAGCGUGCUGCUGGGGUAACGGCUCACCAAGGCGACGAGCCCUAGCUGGUCUGAGAGGAUGACCAGCCACACUGGGACUGAGCCACGGUCCAGAAGCCUACGGGAGGCAGCAGUGGGGAAUAUUGCACAAUGGGCGCAAGCCUGAUUCAGCCAUGCCGCGUGUAUGAAGAAGGCCUUCGGGUUGUAAAGUACUUUCAGCUGGGAGGCGUUACCCGCAGAAGAAGCACCGGCUAACUCCGAGCCAGCAGCCGCGGUAAUAC
This 406-nucleotide ribosomal RNA is filed under the name uncultured bacterium. RNAcentral describes it as "partial 16S ribosomal RNA". It matches the Rfam family "Bacterial small subunit ribosomal RNA", at positions 30 to 526 of the family's 1533-position model. The record is from RNAcentral.